This 570-nucleotide long non-coding RNA is filed under the name Medicago truncatula (barrel medic). RNAcentral's name for it is "long non-coding RNA (MTRU_LNC002882)". Lineage: Eukaryota; Viridiplantae; Streptophyta; Magnoliopsida; Fabales; Fabaceae. The record is from RNAcentral.
CUCUCCUCCGCCAAACAGUCCUCUCUCUCCUCCACCACCGCCACCAGCCCACUUCCGUUCCCGGUGAUGGCAGCGGCGACUACCAAAUCCCCACUAUUUUCAUCUCUCUCAUCCCUGUUCUCUCUCGUCCUCCCCCUCUCAUAUCUACCGCCUCCCCCGUCGUCGGCCCUCACGUGUUACCGGCAACGGCGACGACUCCAUCUUCUCCGUUACACUCCAGCCUAUCUGUCGCUGCCUCCUCCUCGUCUCCUAUGUGCUCCUAUUAUCACCGCCCUCCCACCACCAUUACGAGCGUUUCAGAUCUGACCAACACAGACUCGUCUCCUCUGUCAUUCACUCAUCUCGCUACCACAACGCAUAAACACUCAGAUGUGACUCCCAGAUCCCCACGGCGUCGACGGCGGCAGUAAGGCCAGAAAGAGAAGAGGAAGAGGAGAAGGUGGAUCUGUGUGUUUGUGAACAGAGAAGAGAGAUGAGAAUGUUAGAAGAAAGGGGCACGUGAAAUCUCAUUUUUACCCUUAACUUUUUAACAAUACUACAAAAUUGCCAUCCACAUGGGCAUGUGUAUAA